GAUUUCUGGUUCGGCGCACUUGGCCCGCCUCGGUUUACGGGGUCGCGUGCCGGUGUGCGCCAUCCAUCCUUCGGAAAAACGUAUCUACCCUUCACUGGGCCGGAUACGCUAUUCCGAUCUUUUACUUUGAAAAAAUUAGAGUGUUUAAAGCAGGCUCGCGGCUGUGAAUACAUUAGCAUGGAAUAAUAAUUUAGGACUUUGGUCUUAUUUUGUUGGUUUCUAGGACUAAAGUAAUGAUUGAUAGGGACAGUUGGGGGUGCUAGUAUUCAGCGGCCAGAGGUGAAAUUCUUGGAUUCGCUGAAGACUAACUUAUGCGAAAGCAUU
Molecule: ribosomal RNA, 324 nt
Filed under: uncultured cercomonad
Lineage: Eukaryota; Cercozoa; Cercomonadida; Cercomonadidae
Also listed under: 1 other name
Description: SSU rRNA
Rfam family: Eukaryotic small subunit ribosomal RNA (bases 108-324)
Source: RNAcentral